Molecule: ribosomal RNA, 866 nt
Filed under: Dictyosporium krabiense
Lineage: Eukaryota; Fungi; Ascomycota; Dothideomycetes; Pleosporales; Dictyosporiaceae
Description: partial 28S large subunit ribosomal RNA
Rfam family: Eukaryotic large subunit ribosomal RNA
Source: RNAcentral
UGCCCUAGUAACGGCGAGUGAAGCGGCAAUAGCUCAAAUUUGAAAUCUGACUUCCUUGGAAGUCCGAGUUGUAAUUUGCAGAGGGCGCUUUGGCGUCGGUAGCGGUCUAAGUUCCUUGGAACAGGACGUCACAGAGGGUGAGAAUCCCGUACGUGGUCGACUACCUUCGCCGUGUAAAGCCCCUUCGACGAGUCGAGUUGUUUGGGAAUGCAGCUCUAAAUGGGAGGUAAAUUUCUUCUAAAGCUAAAUACUGGCCAGAGACCGAUAGCGCACAAGUAGAGUGAUCGAAAGAUGAAAAGCACUUUGGAAAGAGAGUCAAACAGCACGUGAAAUUGUUGAAAGGGAAGCGCUUGCCGCCAGACGUGCCCGUGGUGGUUCUCCUCCGCGGGCAGGCCAGCAUCAGUUUGGGCGAUCGGAUAAAGGCCUCUGUCAUGUAUCUCCCUUCGGGGUGACCUUAUAGGGGAGGCGUAAUGCGAUCAGCCCGGACUGAGGUCCGCGCAUCUGCUAGGAUGCUGGCGUAAUGGCUGUAAGCGGCCCGUCUUGAAACACGGACCAAGGAGUCUAACAUCUAUGCGAGUGUUUGGGUGUCAAGCCCGAGCGCGUAAUGAAAGUGAACGGAGGUGGGAACCCUUUGGGUGCACCAUCGACCGAUCCUGAAGUCUUCGGAUGGAUUUGAGUAAGAGCAUGGCUGUUGGGACCCGAAAGAUGGUGAACUAUGCUUGAAUAGGGUGAAGCCAGAGGAAACUCUGGUGGAGGCUCGCAGCGGUUCUGACGUGCAAAUCGAUCGUCAAAUUUGGGCAUAGGGGCGAAAGACUAAUCGAACUAUCUAGUAGCUGGUUCCUGCCGAAGUUGCCCCUCAGGGUACA